GAUGAACGCUGGCGGCGUGCCUAAUACAUGCAAGUCGAGCGAACAGACGAGGAGCUUGCUCCUCUGACGUUAGCGGCGGACGGGUGAGUAACACGUGGAUAACCUACCUAUAAGACUGGGAUAACUUCGGGAAACCGGAGCUAAUACCGGAUAAUAUAUUGAACCGCAUGGUUCAAUAGUGAAAGACGGUUUUGCUGUCACUUAUAGAUGGAUCCGCGCCGCAUUAGCUAGUUGGUAAGGUAACGGCUUACCAAGGCAACGAUGCGUAGCCGACCUGAGAGGGUGAUCGGCCACACUGGAACUGAACCACGGUCCAGACUCCUACGGGAGGCAGCAGUAGGGAAUCUUCCGCAAUGGGCGAAAGCAUGACGGAGCAACGCCGCGUGAGUGAUGAAGGUCUUCGGAUCGUAAAACUCUGUUAUUAGGGAAGAACAAAUGUGUAAGUAACUAUGCACGUCUUGACGGUACCUAAUAAGAAAGCAACGGCUAACUACGUG
This 497-nucleotide ribosomal RNA is filed under the name uncultured bacterium. RNAcentral describes it as "partial 16S ribosomal RNA". It matches the Rfam family "Bacterial small subunit ribosomal RNA", at positions 28 to 507 of the family's 1533-position model. The record is from RNAcentral.